Molecule: ribosomal RNA, 326 nt
Filed under: uncultured eukaryote
Lineage: Eukaryota
Description: partial 18S ribosomal RNA
Rfam family: Eukaryotic small subunit ribosomal RNA
Source: RNAcentral
CCCUUAGAUGUCCUGGGCUGCACGCGCGCUACACUGAUGCACUCAACGAGUUUACGACCUUGCCCGAUAGGGUUGGGUAAUCUUUUUAAAAUGCAUCGUGAUGGGGAUAGAUUAUUGCAAUUAUUAAUCUUCAACGAGGAAUUCCUAGUAAGCGCGAGUCAUCAGCUCGUGCUGAUUACGUCCCUGCCCUUUGUACACACCGCCCGUCGCUCCUACCGAUUGAGUGCUCAGGUGAAUAAUUCGGACUGCAGCAAUGUUUGGACCCCGAACGUUGCAGCGGAAAGUUUAGUGAACCUUAUCACUUAGAGGAAGGAGAAGUCGUAACA